This 254-nucleotide ribosomal RNA is filed under the name uncultured bacterium. Its description in RNAcentral is "partial 16S ribosomal RNA". It matches the Rfam family "Bacterial small subunit ribosomal RNA", at positions 524 to 776 of the family's 1533-position model. The record is from RNAcentral.
UACGGGGGGAGCAAGCGUUGUUCGGAUUUACUGGGCGUAAAGGGCGCGUAGGCGGCCACCGCAAGUCGAUUGUGAAAUCUCCGGGCUUAACCCGGAAAGGUCAACCGAUACUGCGGGGCUAGAGUGCGGAAGGGGCAACUGGAAUUCUUGGUGUAGCGGUGAAAUGCGUAGAUAUCAAGAGGAACACCUGCGGCGAAGGCGGGUUGCUGGGCCGACACUGACGCUGAUGCGCGAAAGCGUGGGGAGCAAACAGG